This 466-nucleotide ribosomal RNA is filed under the name uncultured bacterium. RNAcentral's name for it is "partial 16S ribosomal RNA". It matches the Rfam family "Bacterial small subunit ribosomal RNA", at positions 28 to 507 of the family's 1533-position model. The record is from RNAcentral.
GACGAACGCUGGCGGCGUGCUUAACACAUGCAAGUCGAACGGAAAGGCCCAGCUUGCUGGGUACUCGAGUGUCGAACGGGUGAGUAACACGUGGGUUAUCUGCCCUCAACUUUGGGAUAAGCCUGGGAAACUGGGUCUAAUACCGGAUAUGAUCAACUGUCGCAUGGUGGUUGGUGGAAAGCUUUUGCGGUUGAGGAUGUGCCCGCGGCCUAUCAGCUUGUUGGUGGGGUAAUGGCCUACCAAGGCGACGACGGGUAGCCGACCUGAGAGGGUGAUCGGCCACACUGGGACUGAGACACGGCCCAGACUCCUACGGGAGGCAGCAGUGGGGAAUAUUGCACAAUGGGCGCAAGCCUGAUGCAGCGACGCCGCGUGAGGGAUGACGGCCUUCGGGUUGUAAACCUCUUUCACCAGGGACGAAGCGUGAGUGACGGUACCUGGAGAAGAAGCACCGGCCAACUACGUG